This 254-nucleotide ribosomal RNA is filed under the name uncultured bacterium. Its description in RNAcentral is "partial 16S ribosomal RNA". It matches the Rfam family "Bacterial small subunit ribosomal RNA", at positions 524 to 776 of the family's 1533-position model. The record is from RNAcentral.
UACGGGGGAUGCAAGCGUUAUCCGGAUUUAUUGGGUUUAAAGGGUGCGUAGGCUGUGAGGUAAGUCAGCGGUGAAAUGCCCCCGCUCAACGGGGUGAAGUGCCAUUGAUACUGCCUUGCUGGAAUGCGGAUGCCGUGGGAGGAAUGUGUGGUGUAGCGGUGAAAUGCAUAGAUAUCACACAGAACACCGAUUGCGGAGGCAUCUCACGAAUCCGCGAUUGACGCUGAUGCACGAAAGCGUGGGUAUCAAACAGG